RNAcentral lists this ribosomal RNA (425 nucleotides) under uncultured bacterium. Its description in RNAcentral is "partial 16S ribosomal RNA". It matches the Rfam family "Bacterial small subunit ribosomal RNA", at positions 354 to 796 of the family's 1533-position model. The record is from RNAcentral.
GUGGGGAAUCUUGCACAAUGGGCGAAAGCCUGAUGCAGCCAUGCCGCGUGAAUGAUGAAGGCCUUAGGGUUGUAAAAUUCUUUCGUCAGGGAUGAUAAUGACCGUACCUGAAGAAGAAGCCCCGGCUAACUUCGUGCCAGCAGCCGCGGUAAUACGAAGGGGGCUAGCGUUGUUCGGAAUUACUGGGCGUAAAGCGCACGUAGGCGGACUUUUAAGUCAGGUGUGAAAUCCCGGGGCUCAACCUCGGAACUGCAUUUGAAACUGGAAGUCUUGAGAUCAGGAGAGGUUAGCGGAAUACCGAGUGUAGAGGUGAAAUUCGUAGAUAUUCGGUGGAACACCAGUGGCGAAGGCGGCUAACUGGACUGAUACUGACGCUGAGGUGCGAAAGUGUGGGGAGCAAACAGGAUUAGAAACCCGGGUAGUCC